This 253-nucleotide ribosomal RNA is filed under the name uncultured bacterium. RNAcentral describes it as "partial 16S ribosomal RNA". It matches the Rfam family "Bacterial small subunit ribosomal RNA", at positions 524 to 776 of the family's 1533-position model. The record is from RNAcentral.
UACGGGGGGGGCAAGCGUUGUUCGGAAUUACUGGGCGUAAAGGGCUCGUAGGUGGCCAACUAAGUCAGACGUGAAAUCCCUCGGCUUAACCGGGGAACUGCAUCUGAUACUGGAUGGCUUGAGUUUGGGAGAGGGAUGCGGAAUUCCAGGUGUAGCGGUGAAAUGCGUAGAUAUCAGAAGGAACACCUGUGGUGUAGACGGCUUUCUGGACAACUCCUGACGCUGAGACACGAAAGCGUGGGUAGCAAACAGG